RNAcentral lists this ribosomal RNA (490 nucleotides) under uncultured bacterium. RNAcentral describes it as "partial 16S ribosomal RNA". It matches the Rfam family "Bacterial small subunit ribosomal RNA", at positions 30 to 507 of the family's 1533-position model. The record is from RNAcentral.
AUUGAACGCUGGCGGCAUGCUUUACACAUGCAAGUCGAACGGCAGCGGGGUAGUUCUUGCACUACUGCCGGCGAGUGGCGAACGUGUGAGUAAUAUAUCUGAACGUAACGAGUAGUGGAGGAUAACCAAUCGAAAGAUUUGCUACUUCCGCACAGAUCCUGAGGGAGAAAGCGGUUCGUAGCACAAGCUCGCGGUUUUCCAUCGGCCGAUUACGGAUUAGCUAGUUGGUGGGGUAAAGGCCUACCAAGGCGACGAUCAGUAGCGGGUCUGAGAGGAGGAUCAGCCACACUGGGACUGAGACACGGCCCAGACUCCUACGGGAGGCAGCAGUGGGGAAUAUUGGACAAUGGGCGCAACCCUGAUCCAGCCAUGCCGCGUGUAUGAAGAAGGCCUUCGGGUUGUAAAGUACUUUUGUUAGGGAAGAAAAGGGAAGUGCUAAUACCACUCUUUGCUGACGUUACCUAAAGAAUAAGCACCGGCUAACUACGUG